AUUGAACGCUGGCGGCAGGCCUAACACAUGCAAGUCGAACGGUAACAGGAAGCAGCUUGCUGCUUCGCUGACGAGUGGCGGACGGGUGAGUAAUGUCUGGGAAACUGCCUGAUGGAGGGGGAUAACUACUGGAAACGGUAGCUAAUACCGCAUAACGUCGCAAGACCAAAGAGGGGGACCUUAGGGCCUCUUGCCAUCGGAUGUGCCCAGAUGGGAUUAGCUAGUAGGUGGGGUUACGGCUCACCUAGGCGACGAUCCCUAGCUGGUCUGAGAGGAUGACCAGCCACACUGGAACUUAGACACGGUCCAGACUCCUACGGGAGGCAGCAGUGGGGAAUAUUGCACAAUGGGCGCAAGCCUGAUGCAGCCAUGCCGCGUGUAUGAAGAAGGCCUUCGGGUUGUAAAGUACUUUCAGCGGGGAGGAAGGGAGUAAAGUUAAUACCUUUGCUCAUUGACGUUACCCGCAGAAGAAGCACCGGCUAACUCCGUG
RNAcentral lists this ribosomal RNA (490 nucleotides) under uncultured bacterium. Its description in RNAcentral is "partial 16S ribosomal RNA". It matches the Rfam family "Bacterial small subunit ribosomal RNA", at positions 30 to 507 of the family's 1533-position model. The record is from RNAcentral.